GUUUAAGUAGCUUAAUAAGAGUGUCAUAGUGAAGUUAUGAAGGUGGGAGUAAUACCUUUAAACA
This 64-nucleotide transfer RNA is filed under the name Myrmecophilus kubotai. Its description in RNAcentral is "tRNA-Phe". The record is from RNAcentral. Lineage: Eukaryota; Metazoa; Arthropoda; Insecta; Orthoptera; Myrmecophilidae.